Rhineura floridana is the source of this 2689-nucleotide long non-coding RNA. RefSeq lists it as uncharacterized. NCBI's taxonomy places the organism in Eukaryota, Metazoa, Chordata, Lepidosauria, Squamata, Rhineuridae. The record is from RefSeq and is a predicted model, not a curated record. The transcript has 3 exons.
GGUGGGGGUGCGAAAGGGAAGGCAGGUUGUCCGGCAGCAGCGGUCGCGGCAUGGGAAGGGCUGGUAAGCGCAGGGGAGUGAAGUUGCUGCUGUUGCUCUGUCUCCCUCCGGCUGCGGCUGGCCUUGCCUGUCCAACGUGGUUAACUCAGGCUAUUGCCCCGGAACCUCGCGACGUGCCUGUUAUUAAGUGCCCAAGUUGUGGAUGAAGCCUGCGAAGCGCGCCCAAAGUUCAGUGUUGUUCACAAUUCAGGAAUGUUCCAGGAAGAUGAAGGUGUAAAUACCGACAAAAGAAGGCAGCAUGUAAACACUAAAGGAAAGGUUAUGCAGAACAGAAGAUUUAUGAGUACAGAAUAUGUCGAACAAGGAGAAAUGAUUGCAUUCCAUCCAUGUCUGAGAUGUUAAGAUGAUAGAAAAACAGAAGACCAGAUUGCAAGUCUGCCUGAAGAGCAGAUUAUUUUGGGAAUUCUGUUCUAACAUAGUAAUUGGUAGUUUGGGGGCCCUGCCUAGAAUGCUGAACAUUUAACAAGAUGAGUUUCUUCCAUAUAUCUCUAUGCUUCCACUGAUAUUUAUAAAGUAUGAUCAGUUCUGCAAAGGGAAGGAGCCUGGAUUCUUUAGUGGAGCAGUGCUGCUACCAUUCCUUCUUUUCUUAGGCUUCUGAAUAGCCAGCAUGAGUGUGAGGUGCUAAAAUCAGAAAAUGCCACUUUGCGAGUGAAACUUCUCCAUGGAUGGCAUCAGUACUGUUGGGGAGGGGGGAAAGGAAGGCAAUUAACUUGUUUAAAGACUUCCAUUAAAAACAAAAAAGCUUAGCUGGAGAAAGAGACUGUUGGAAACAGUAGUUAUACUGCAGCAACAUAUUGCAUGCCCACAUUGAAGUUCAUAUUGAAUUGGGAAUGGCACAUUCAGCUUCACAGUCUACUCUGAGGUCUGGUCACAUAGUCAAAAGACAUAUUAACAAUACAAGAAGCUACCAACUAAAAGCACUGGAGACAAGAGUAGGAAGAAUUUUCUCCCUUUCAGCAACCAGAUUACCAAUUUUUAAACUGGCAAACUGCCACCCUCCAGCAUGCAUAUAUGUGCUCUUGCUCUCCUAUUCACAUGCACUCUCUCUCUUUCACUCGCACACACACAGUUCUCUUCUUUCCCUGCAUCAAGCUCAGCAGCAUGGCCUGUAUAACACUGAAGAAAAAUUGCUGUUGUGAAUGGGAAUGGAAAGAUAAGCUCACUGCUGCUUUAUGUUUCUCUCCUCCCUGCCACCACAGAACUCCAUCAGCUGGGAGUCCACAAUCAGCUGAUGCCCACUGCAGAUUGAGGCCAAAUAAAUAGGUGUGGGGCACUGGGAUGGAUCAAGUGAAAAGGGGUAGAGACCUAGGCUUCCUAUCUUUAAUUUAUAGCAGAUAACUUAGCAUCUUAAGCCACACCCCUUACCAAAACCUGAAUUUGCAGAGCAUGUUCCCUCCAAAUGGCAUUUUGUCUUUUAUCAAAGUAGAGGCUACUAUGGAUAAGCCAUUUGAAGUGCAGUGUUGCACUGUUGCUUCAUAGGACUGAUCUCUUGUUCAUCCAAAUAUACUUUUACAAUGGUGGCUUUGGAACAGUCUAGAACAAAGAAUUAUUAUAUAGUCUUUCACAAAACUAUACAGAAAUAUAUCUAUAUCAGAUAAAGAAAGUUAAUUGUCUUUGUGUAAAAGUAGAUGAUGCAAUACUUGGCAUGAGGCACGAUGGCAAGACAACACUAGCACCUAAAUCCCAUUUUACCAGAUCUGAAAGGUCCUUAGUAAGAAUGGGACCUGUUGAUGGCCACAAACGCUGUUCCAGAGCAACAUUUCUUCAUGUGCAAAUGUUCACCAAGAACAGAACAGCUUAUUUCUCCCAUUCCAACUAAAAAAAAGUGUAUCUCCACAAAAUACCAAACGUACAAGAUAAAAAUUGUUGUUAACACACACACACACACACAAGCACUACAGUGUGUUGAUGCGGUCCAGUAAAAGGGGUCUGGCUGGUAAAAUACCCCUUCAUUGUUCAGUUGUAGCUUGCAGUAUAACCUUCAGAAUGGACAUAAAGGACUCACUGCUAUGUGCUUUGGACAGGACAUCCCUACUAGGUUUCAUACCCUUCCAGGGCAGUUGCUAUUUAGUCCUAAGCAUCAUUAUGUGAUGUUUUAAAUACAAAGGUUAUAUAAAUUUUGAGAGAAGCCACAAACAGCAUUUUCAUUUUAAACUAUAACAAAACAGAUUUAAAAAAUACAACCAUUCUGUUUCUUCCAAUGAGUUCUUUUUUUAAAAAAACUGUAAAAAUAUUUUGCACAACCAUCUACAUCCAUCCAUUUGUGAUAAAAAGUCAAAUACAUACAUGAAAUAGGGUUUUAUUUCUAAAUAGGUAUACUUGCAAGGCAAUUAGUCCUCCUUGGCUGGCCUUUUUACCUCCAGAUGCUCUGCUUUGUUGAUAUGACUGCAAGACAUAUAAAAAUAAACGAAGUGACCCUAUUAUGAUGGCUUAGUAUUUGAUAAACCAGAAGAUGACAACAGAGAGAAAGGCAGUGGCAGGGGUAGGGAGAGGAUAUGCUGUUCCAUGCUGUUGCAGAUUUAAACAAAAAUUGUAACAGAGUGUUCAUGACAGCGUAAUCUAAUUGGAAUGAUUACACAGAAAAUUUCAGAAGUACUCUCAUAAAUUUUAACUAUGUGACAGAAGAAUG